Molecule: transfer RNA, 71 nt
Filed under: Marmota monax (woodchuck)
Lineage: Eukaryota; Metazoa; Chordata; Mammalia; Rodentia; Sciuridae
Description: tRNA.Ala
Source: RNAcentral
CUCAGUGUAGCUCAGUGGUGGAGUGCUUGCCUAGCAUGCUGAGGCCCGGGGUUCCGUCCCCAGCACUGGGG